This 432-nucleotide ribosomal RNA is filed under the name uncultured bacterium. RNAcentral's name for it is "partial 16S ribosomal RNA". It matches the Rfam family "Bacterial small subunit ribosomal RNA", at positions 29 to 507 of the family's 1533-position model. The record is from RNAcentral.
AACGAACGCUGGCGGCAUGCCUAACACAUGCAAGUCGAACGAGACCUUCGGGUCUAGUGGCGCACGGGUGCGUAACGCGUGGGAACCUGCCCUUAGGUUCGGAAUAACUCCCCGAAAGGGGUGCUAAUACCGGAUAAUGUCUUCGGACCAAAGAUUUAUCGCCUUUGGAUGGGCCCGCGUUGGAUUAGCUAGUUGGUAGGGUAAAAGCCUACCAAGGCGACGAUCCAUAGCUGGUCUGAGAGGAUGAUCAGCCACACUGGGACGGAGACACGGCCCAGACUCCUGCGGGAGGCGGCAGUGGGAAUAUUGGACAAUGGGCGAAAGCCUGAUCCAGCAAUGCCGCGUGAGUGAUGAAGGCCUUAGGGUUGUAAAGCUCUUUUACCCGGGAUGAUAAUGACAGUACCGGGAGAAUAAGCUCCGGCUAACUCCGUG